CCUACGGUGUGCAGCAGUGGGGAAUAUUGCACAAUGGGGGAAACCCUGAUGCAGCGACGCCGCGUGAGUGAAGAAGUAUCUCGGUACGUAAAGCUCUAUCAGCAGGGAAGAAAAUGACGGUACCUGACUAAGAAGCCCCGGCUAACUACGUGCCAGCAGCCGCGGUAAUACGUAGGGGGCAAGCGUUAUCCGGAUUUACUGGGGGUAACGGGAGCGUAGACGGCAGCACAAGUCUGGAGUGAAAUCCCGGGGCUUAACCCCGGAACUGCUUUGGAAACUGUGCGGCUGGAGUGCAGGAGGGGUAAGCGGAAUUCCUAGUGGAGCGGUGAAAGGCGUAGAUAUUAGGAGGAACAUCAGGGGCGAAGGCGACUUACUGGACUGUAACUGACACUGAGGCACGAAAGCGUGGGGAGCAAACAGGAUUAGAUACCCUGGUAGUC
Molecule: ribosomal RNA, 440 nt
Filed under: uncultured bacterium
Lineage: Bacteria
Description: partial 16S ribosomal RNA
Rfam family: Bacterial small subunit ribosomal RNA
Source: RNAcentral